This 427-nucleotide ribosomal RNA is filed under the name uncultured bacterium. RNAcentral describes it as "bacterial SSU rRNA". It matches the Rfam family "Bacterial small subunit ribosomal RNA", at positions 917 to 1345 of the family's 1533-position model. The record is from RNAcentral.
GGGCCCGCACAAGCGGUGGAGUAUGUGGUUUAAUUCGAUGCAACGCGAAGAACCUUACCAGGGUUUGACAUCCUGCGAAUCUCUUGGAAACAGGAGAGUGCCUUCGGGAACGCAGUGACAGGUGGUGCAUGGCUGUCGUCAGCUCGUGUCGUGAGAUGUUGGGUUAAGUCCCGCAACGAGCGCAACCCACGUCUUUAGUUGCCAGCAUUUAGUUGGGCACUCUAGCGAGACUGCCGGUGAUAAGCCGGAGGAAGGCGGGGAUGACGUCAAGUCCUCAUGGCCCUUAUGGGCUGGGCUACACACGUGCUACAAUGGGGAAUACAGACGGACGCUAAGCCGCGAGGUGGUGCUAAUCCUAGAAAGUUUCUCGUAGUCCGGAUUGGAGUCUGCAACUCGACUCCUUGAAGUUGGAGUCGCUAGUAAUCGC